AUGGCCUUCUUCCUUGCUCUACGGACCUGCCUUCUACUUGUGAAGUCAGGUGCUGCGCUGGGUGAUUCGGUCCAGUCCAAGGAACCCCACGUGUCUGGAGUGGAAGGAGGUUCAGUAACGUUCAGCUGUUACUACAAUACCACCGAUUUUUCGGGCGUCUAUCUCUACUGGUACCGACAGUCUCCUAACCGGGCCCCGCAGUACAUUCUGCGGAGAGGGACGAAGGUCUACGCUACUUAUAGCGAAAAUGCAGAUUUCGCCCAGGAGAGGUUUUCUUCCCAGGCUGAUGACAGCUCCACAGUUCUGACAAUCACAGCCCUGGAGCUGACAGACACCGCGGUGUAUUUCUGCGCCUUGCAGCGGGCACAGUGA
Molecule: non-coding RNA, 372 nt
Organism: Malaclemys terrapin pileata
Lineage: Eukaryota; Metazoa; Chordata; Testudines; Emydidae
Source: the annotation of a RefSeq genome assembly